This 211-nucleotide RNase P RNA is filed under the name Escherichia coli. RNAcentral's name for it is "RNase P RNA component class A". It matches the Rfam family "Bacterial RNase P class A". From Rfam's summary of the family: Ribonuclease P (RNase P) is a ubiquitous endoribonuclease, found in archaea, bacteria and eukarya as well as chloroplasts and mitochondria. Its best characterised activity is the generation of mature 5'-ends of tRNAs by cleaving the 5'-leader elements of precursor-tRNAs. The record is from RNAcentral. Lineage: Bacteria; Pseudomonadati; Pseudomonadota; Gammaproteobacteria; Enterobacterales; Enterobacteriaceae.
GAAGCUGACCAGACAGUCGCCGCUUCGUCGUCGUCCUCUUCGGGGGAGACGGGCGGAGGGGAGGAAAGUCCGGGCUCCAUAGGGCAGGGUGCCAGGUAACGCCUGGGGGGGACGUACUGAACCCGGGUAGGCUGCUUGAGCCAGUGAGCGAUUGCUGGCCUAGAUGAAUGACUGUCCACGACAGAACCCGGCUUAUCGGUCAGUUUCACCU